This 108-nucleotide ribosomal RNA is filed under the name Lepisosteus oculatus (spotted gar). Lineage: Eukaryota; Metazoa; Chordata; Actinopteri; Semionotiformes; Lepisosteidae. The record is from RNAcentral.
GCCAGCAGCUGUAUCACUCUGCAGCUCACCACUGAAGCUAAGCAGGUGUGAGCCUGGUCAGUACCUGGAUGGGAGUCCUCCUGGGAAAAACUAAGGUUGCUGCUGGAA